This 1461-nucleotide ribosomal RNA is filed under the name Triticum aestivum (bread wheat). RNAcentral's name for it is "partial small subunit ribosomal RNA". The record is from RNAcentral. Lineage: Eukaryota; Viridiplantae; Streptophyta; Magnoliopsida; Poales; Poaceae.
AACACCACAAUAAAAGAGACGGAUCAUAACUUUCACCAGAAUAAAAUCAUAUACCCUUUUGAUUACGAGAUUUAAUACAUGCAUCUACAAUGUUAUCUUUACCAUAAUAGAAACAUAAGUGAGGAUUCGAAAGAUCCGAGGAUCGAUAACCAAGAAACGUCGGUAUUAUCUCUACCAUAAUAAUAACGAAAUAAAUAUUAAUAAUAGCAACAUAAUUAGAACAAGAGUAACCCAUACUAUCACUACCUAAGAUCCUCUUUAUUUUAAUAAUUCUAAUAGAACGUUCUUGUUCUUCUUCUGCUACUUGAUAAAAAGGAAAACCAAGGGCGAAAUAUACGAAGGGAAAUACUCCUUUUCGUAGGUCAAGUGUGUAGUAGAAGUAGGCCCCGAUGUUUCCAAUUCCUUUAUAAUCUUCCGGUGCUCUCAACCAGAUCCCAACUCAAAGCCUACCUUGGACUCUAAAAAUUCAGAUAGCACCUAAUGGAAUCUUCUCUCUUAGAUAACUUCCCGUGCAGCGCACAAAGACAGCUCCUCGUCAACCGUUACAAGUACAUGUACUAAAGCGUGUUAAGAUCAUUAGUUCUAGAUGUUUUUAUGAAGGUUGUGUCGCGUCUCUGUUAAGUAUCCUUCUAUUUGUACUAAAAACUGAAUGGAGUGUAGUUAUAUAACGGGACAAGUAGACCUCUGAAAAAGUUCAUUUGUUUAACCCAAUGACCUGUCGGAACACUAACGCAAGGAUUUGAUAUAAACAUUAGAACUAAAAAAUACGUAUCACGUGUUUAGUAUACAACCAACUAUGAUAAAGUAAUCAAACGAAUAUGAUGUUUUAUCACAACACUCUAAGACUUGACUACGAUCGAUUGAAUAAAGAAAAACAGUAAGUUGGUCGUAGUUCAACACCAUGUACUACAGCUCCUUCCUCACCUCUUUUCUGGCCUCAUCCUACACUAACAACGAAACGCCGGGUAGAACAAGCUUUCAUAGGGACGCAACCUGUACCGUUGAAUAUUAGGUCUUGAAAAAUAUCACGUGUUUGAACUACUACAUAGUUAUUGAGAACAUUAGUAACGAAAAUAAAGGCGUGUACUUUUGCCGAAUCCGGUUACGAGUUAGUAGCACUUUACGUCUGACUAUAGAAUUCGAACUACUUCACUACCUAUUCAACAUCACUAUAAAAAUUUUAAGAUCAACUGUACUUAAUACUUGGAAACAAUACACGGACACUAAAAACAGCAAAGAGUCUUAAUAAACACCUUACACUAAAAACAACAAAGAGUCUUAAUAAGCACCUUAAAAAUAGAUACUAAACCAACAAAAGGUUUUAAUAGACAUCUUAAAACUACAUUCUAGACGAUAUAAUAUACACAGAUAUCAUACGUUCUCUAAAGGAAGGGAGGGUACAAUGAUAAACCAGUGGACCUGUUACCCUUGUAGAGGGUGCACCACCCUCCCCAACGUACA